GUGGGGAAUAUUGGGCAAUGGGGGAAACCCUGACCCAGCAACGCCGCGUGAAGGAAGAAGGUUUUCGGAUCGUAAACUUCUAUCCUUGGUGAAGAUAAUGUCGGUAGCCAAGAAGGAAGCCCCGGCUAACUACGUGCCAGCAGCCGCGGUAAUACGUAGGGGGCAAGCGUUGUCCGGAAUGAUUGGGCGUAAAGGGCGCGUAGGCGGCCUGGUAAGUCUGGAGUGAAAGUCCUGCUUUUAAGGUGGGAAUUGCUUUGGAUACUGUCGGGCUUGAGUGCAGGAGAGGUAAGCGGAAUUCCCGGUGUAGCGGUGAAAUGCGUAGAGAUCGGGAGGAACACCAGUGGCGAAGGCGGCUUACUGGACUGUAACUGACGCUGAGGCGCGAAAGUGUGGGGAGCAAACAGGAUUAGAUACCCCUGUAGUCC
This 425-nucleotide ribosomal RNA is filed under the name uncultured bacterium. RNAcentral describes it as "partial 16S ribosomal RNA". It matches the Rfam family "Bacterial small subunit ribosomal RNA", at positions 354 to 796 of the family's 1533-position model. The record is from RNAcentral.